UACGAAGGGGGCUAGCGUUACUCGGAUUGACUGGGCGUAAAGGGCGCGUAGGCGGUUUGUACAGUCAGACGUGAAAUUCCUGGGCUCAACCUGGGGGCUGCGUUUGAUACGUGCGGACUUGAGUUCGGAAGAGGGUCGUGGAAUUCCCAGUGUAGAGGUGAAAUUCGUAGAUAUUGGGAAGAACACCGGUGGCGAAGGCGGCGCUCUGGACCGAGACUGACGCUGAGGCGCGAAAGCGUGGGGAGCAAACAGGG
Molecule: ribosomal RNA, 254 nt
Filed under: uncultured bacterium
Lineage: Bacteria
Description: partial 16S ribosomal RNA
Rfam family: Bacterial small subunit ribosomal RNA
Source: RNAcentral